RNAcentral lists this ribosomal RNA (468 nucleotides) under uncultured bacterium. Its description in RNAcentral is "partial 16S ribosomal RNA". It matches the Rfam family "Bacterial small subunit ribosomal RNA", at positions 28 to 507 of the family's 1533-position model. The record is from RNAcentral.
GACGAACGCUGGCGGCGUGCUUAACACAUGCAAGUCGAACGGAAAGGCCCUGCUUUUGUGGUGUUCUCGGGUGGCGAACGGGUGGGUAACACGUGAGUAACCUGCCCUUGACUUUGGGGUAACUUCAAGAAACUGGGGCUAAUACCGGAUAGGAACUCCUGCUGCCCGGUGGGGGUUGGAAAGUUUCGGCGGUUGGGGAUGGACUCGCGGCUUAUCAGCUUGUUGGUGGGGUAGUGGCUUACCAAGGCUUUGACGGGUAGCCGGCCUGGGAGGGUGACCGGCCACAUUGGGACUGCGAUACGGACCAGACUCCUACGGGGGGCAGCAGUGGGGAAUAUUGCACAAUGGGCGGAAGCCUGAUGCAGCAACGCCGCGGGCGGGAUGACGGCCUUCGGGUUGUAAACCGCUUUCGCCUGUGACGAAGCGUGAGUGACGGUAAUGGGUAAAGAAGCACCGGCUAACUACGUG